RNAcentral lists this long non-coding RNA (1501 nucleotides) under Sorghum bicolor (sorghum). RNAcentral describes it as "long non-coding RNA (SBIC_LNC017112)". The record is from RNAcentral. Lineage: Eukaryota; Viridiplantae; Streptophyta; Magnoliopsida; Poales; Poaceae.
GGUUAGGGUAAACUAUUAAGAUUUAAACUUACUCAUUUUUCCUUCCACCAUGGGGCUUGCACCCGUCACUUGUGUCUUGAGCAGUUAAAAGAUAGAACGGUCUAGUCAAGCGUCAUGUCUCUUGUUCUUCGAUUAACUAUAGCUCUGAAGUUUUUGCAGAUUUUCAAAUAAAACUCAGAGAUUCCUUAUAUGACUCUCUCUAGUCUCUCUUUUGUGGUAUUUCUGGAUCCUUACCAAGGCAGUAAUAGUGUAUGCCUUCUCUCAAAGUAUGUGGUAUUUUUGGUAUGAGGCAUAGUGACAUUGCCUUCUCUCUCACCCUACUCUAAUAAGGUUUUGAUAUCUGGAGCUCAUAGGUGGGAGAUAGCUAAUACAUACUUACAAGACAUUUAUUGCAUAGUCAAACCAUGGAUCCAGAAGAACAAGUCAAUAAGUCAAAUCAAGAUGUGCAUGUGUGGCGAAUGAAUGGUGUAUGGUGAUGAUGGUGAUAACAAUGGUGAAAGUCCAAUUCUACUUAUGCUCUUUUGAGAGGAUACAUACCUUUCUUGCUCUUUUGAAACUUUUUGAGGAGAAUGAGAUGCUCUAUAUUUUCUUUUUCUUUUCUCUCAGGUGGGUAUCUUGUACCCCUAAUUCUACUAUCGGACACUUGUCCAUUUUUACCUCUCGUCUCACUUUUUCUUUUCCUUCGAGGUUCCGGGCACUUGCCCCUUUUUAUUUCCUCGUAUCUUUUUUUUCUCUCUCUCUUCUUUUUUUAGAGCACUCAUCACUUGAAAUAAUGUAACAAGUGGUAGUAACCAAGAUAACUUGAGCAUUUAUUUCACAGAGGAAAACAGAAAUGAUUUUGGCUAUUCUCUCCCGGAUUAGGAGUAGAAUAUUUUUGGGUGGUUUUGGAGAUGGAAAUGGGUUGAUAUAUGUGGAUGCGUACUUCCGGAGUAGAAGCAGCAUGUGUGAAUGAACGUGCAAGUGAAUCUUAAUUUAACCACAUGACAAGCUCCUAAGGGUCUACACAGCUUGACCACACUCAAUGCUCAUAAGCAGUAAAAAGUAAAUGUGUGGCUCAAAGUCUAGCAAGCAUGUAUAUAUGGCUGUGGUAGGAAUUUAAACUCUCAUCAUACAGGAACUCUUCAUGUGUUAUUUUAAAGAUUUUCAAAGAUAAACUUCUCCAGUUUUCUAGCAUCUCUAGGAACAGAUAAACAGCAGCUCAACCUUCCCAUGUCGUAUCCGUUAACGACUUAGACUUUAGAUCAAGUACUCUUCCCACAAGUUCAGGUUUAGAGCAAUGCUUAAUUAAUAACAAUCAUGCCUAAACUUGAGAGAGAUUUCAAUUUUGAGAAUUAGUCAUGGCAGAGCAACUAUUCAUCAUUUCCAUGUGAGAGCUAUCAUGAGGGUUCAUAGCAGACUUUAUUUAUUUAUUUAUUUAGCAAACUAAACAAAUAUACAUAUAAGCACAAAAUCUUUAUUUGGGUUUUUAUGAUUAUACAUCUUUUUAUUAUUUGAGUAAAGU